This 586-nucleotide ribosomal RNA is filed under the name uncultured bacterium. RNAcentral's name for it is "bacterial SSU rRNA". It matches the Rfam family "Bacterial small subunit ribosomal RNA", at positions 338 to 916 of the family's 1533-position model. The record is from RNAcentral.
CCUACGGGAGGCAGCAGUUUCGAAUUAUUCACAAUGGGCGAAAGCCUGAUGGUGCGACGCCGCGUGAGGGAUGAAGGUCUUCGGAUUGUAAACCUCUGUCACCGGGGAAGAAUGGCUAUGACCUAACACGUCAUGGAUUGACUUAACCCGGAGAGGAAGCAGUGGCUAACUCUGUGCCAGCAGCCGCGGUAAUACAGAGACUGCAAGCGUUAUUCGGAUUCACUGGGCGUAAAGGGUGCGCAGGCGGUUGCGUGUGUUGGAUGUGAAAGCCUGGGGCUCAACCCCAGAAUUGCGUCCAAAACUACGCGACUAGAGUACCGGAGAGGAUAGCGGAAUUCACGGUGUAGCAGUGAAAUGCGUAGAUAUCGUGAAGAACACCAGCGGCGAAGGCGGCUAUCUGGAAGGUAACUGACGCUCAGGCACGAAAGCGUGGGGAGCAAAAGGGAUUAGAUACCCCUGUAGUCCACGCCCUAAACGGUGCACACUAGGUGUUAGCGGAUUCGACCCCGUUAGCGCCCAAGCUAACGCGUUAAGUGUGCCGCCUGAGGACUACGGCCGCAAGGCUAAAACUCAAAUGAAUUGACGG